AGAGUUUGAUCCUGGCUCAGAUUGAACGCUGGCGGAAUGCUUUACACAUGCAAGUCGAACGGCAGCACGGACUUCGGUCUGGUGGCGAGUGGCGAACGGGUGAGUAACAUAUCGGAACGUAUCCAAUAAUGGGGGAUAACUAAUCGAAAGGUUGGCUAAUACCGCAUACGCCCUACGGGGGAAAGCUGGGGACCUUCGGGCCUGGCGUUAAUGGAGCGGCUGAUAUCUGAUUAGCUAGUAGGUGAGGUAAAAGCUCACCUAGGCGACGAUCAGUAGCUGGUCUGAGAGGACGACCAGCCACACUGGAACUGAGACACGGUCCAGACUCCUACGGGAGGCAGCAGUGGGGAAUUUUGGACAAUGGGCGCAAGCCUGAUCCAGCCAUUCCGCGUGAGUGAAGAAGGCCUUCGGGUUGUAAAGCUCUUUCGCAAGGGAAGAAAACUUACUUUCUAAUAAAGAGUGAGGUUGACGGUACCUUGAUAAGAAGCACCGGCUAACUACGUGCCAGCAGCCGCGGUAAUACGUAGGGUGCGAGCGUUAAUCGGAAUUACUGGGCGUAAAGCGUGCGCAGGCGGCUUUAAAAGUCAGAUGUGAAAUCCCCGAGCUCAACUUGGGAACUGCGUUUGAAACUCUAAAGCUAGAAUAUGUCAGAGGGGGGUAGAAUUCCACGUGUAGCAGUGAAAUGCGUAGAGAUGUGGAGGAAUACCAAUGGCGAAGGCAGCCCCCUGGGAUAAUAUUGACGCUCAUGCACGAAAGCGUGGGGAGCAAACAGGAUUAGAUACCCUGGUAGUCCACGCCCU
RNAcentral lists this ribosomal RNA (800 nucleotides) under uncultured bacterium. Its description in RNAcentral is "bacterial SSU rRNA". It matches the Rfam family "Bacterial small subunit ribosomal RNA", at positions 8 to 803 of the family's 1533-position model. The record is from RNAcentral.